Long non-coding RNA from Fukomys damarensis (Damara mole-rat), 2010 nucleotides. RefSeq lists it as uncharacterized. The transcript has 3 exons. The record is from RefSeq and is a predicted model, not a curated record. NCBI's taxonomy places the organism in Eukaryota, Metazoa, Chordata, Mammalia, Rodentia, Bathyergidae.
AUAUGGGUGUGGGCUCAGUGCUAUAUUAAUCCCUAUGGAUUAGAUAGCUCUGUGUGGAGAACACUAUUGAUUUCCUUAUUGCUGGCCUAGCCAGGCAACGGUUGUAACUUGUGGUAGUUGUCAGGCUUUUGGUUUCACUAUGGAUAAAUCAAAUGGCAACAGAACUGGUACCUCCUCCCUUUCACCCUUUCCUCCACCCCUUCCAUAAAUGCUGGUAAUCUGGACUUUUCUGGACCAUAGACUAUGCACAUCUUGUCCAAAGUACCAAGCAUCCCCAAUCUAAACAUAUGUGUGCAGCUCCACGUGGGUCUAUCUGAAUGUCAGAGGGCAAUGGCCCUACACUGGGAAAUGGAAAAGGGAUGUUCCCACUUCCUGUGCAACCUCCAGAAAUCCAUUUUAUGUGAAAUGGUAGCUCCCAGUAGAAUGAAGUGGGAAGAACCAAAUACCAGCGCUCUGUUCUAUCAACCCGAUCUCUUCCCACCAUUCUCAGCAGCAGGGACGGACAACACAAGACACCCACGGUGAAUAAAAAGGCAGUGUUGUGCUUCAUGAUUGGCGGCAUGUGUGUGCACAGGUCCUGGCUGCGAGCAGGAUGAGAAGAGUAACCAGAUUGAUGGAUCUGGAUGUUGGUACUUGGUUUUGCCCAUCUUCUUCUCAUUGGAGUCGCCAUUUUAUUUGAAAUGCAUUUCAGGAGGUUGCGUGAGGGGUGGGGGACGGACCUUUCACAUUGUUGGGUGUAGAGUUGCUGCUCUCCUGAUAUGCAGGUACACCUGGAUGGGAGCCUGAGCUCCGGCUGACUUUCAUUCACAUUCAGAUGCUUCCUUGGGUUGCACCAGGUUCUUUGGUUGACAACUGGAAGAGGAAGGUGGGAAAAGGGAGGGACCUGCCACACUCUUGCAGCCUCCCUGCUCAUGUGGAACCUGGGCCUUUAUCCAUCGUGAAUGAUCAUCUUUCCCAAGCUUUCAUCUUCUUAUUGUUCCCUUCGUGCUUUUUACUCUAUUGAUUCUGCUUCUAAACUAUAUAGCACUUAAUGUUUUUUUUAAUCAUUUCACAUUUUGGACUUAUUAUAUAUGCCAGUCUGUAGACACCAGACCUUGGCAGGACUCAGAAGGUCCCUCCAUGUCCUCCUGGCCCACAGAUGAGCCCCUCUUGUCCCUUACCAUGUUGCAUGAGAAAUUCCAUGUCACUGAUGGUCAGUACAUCAAGCAAGCACUCUCUGUGUCCCCUACUUGUGUCCACCUCCUCUUAGCAACUCAUCCCCCAAAGCCUUCCCUUGUACAGAAGUGAAAGAAAGGACCAGUCAAGGUCUCACAAAGAGACUGGGAGAGCAGGGUUGAAGUCCUUUCCUUACGUGUGUGUGUGUGUGUGUGUGUGUGUGUGUGUGUGUGUGUUUGUGUCCUCUUCUCCAGGGACAACUCCCUCACCUAAAAUGACUUUCCUCUCUCGGGCCAGAUCCUUCAGAUCCAAGUCUAGGAGGAGCAUGGACUUGAUGCUUUUGCUCUUUUCCCCAGUGCCGUAUGCCUUGAGGGCCCAUGUCAAAGCCCCUUACCCAUGUCAUGGAGUCUCUUGUGGGAAGGAUUAUUGUGUUGGCCAGAGGAGAUAAAAAGAAAAUAUUUUUUCAUGAAGGAAGAAGAGCAGGAAUAUAUGGGUGCACUUCCAAAUCAGCAAAAAAUGAAGGGUCCUGCUUAUUUACUUUUUUAACCCGGUGCAAACUCUUAUUUAUGCCAACAAUGCAUCUGCUUUGCUUCCUAUUUUCCCCUGGGGCUGAUGCCCAAGGCCAUGGAAUGAAAGGGCUGAGAGUGGUAAGCCAUAGAACUCUUAGCAGGCGCCUGCUGAACCAUGAAGAAACUUAAAAUAGCGAUGAUCUCCCUUUAUGCUGCUGCCUCGUUCCCCAUAGCCCACUCAUGAUGUUUAUACUCAAGGCCACAUGAAGCUAAUCUGUAUGGAAAUAAAGGGCAGAAAUAUUCAGAUUGAGUUUUACUAAGUGAACCUGAGGUUUCUCUGUUCAGC